GACGAACGCUGGCGGCGUGCUUAACACAUGCAAGUCGAACGGAAAGGCCUUUUCGGAGGUACUCGAGUGGCGAACGGGUGAGUAACACGUGGGUGAUCUGCCCUGCACUCUGGGAUAAGCCUGGGAAACUGGGUCUAAUACCGGAUAGGACCGCACUUUAGUGUAUGUGGUGGAAAGUUUUUUCGGUGUAGGAUGAGCCCGCGGCCUAUCAGCUUGUUGGUGGGGUAAUGGCCUACCAAGGCGGCGACGGGUAGCCGGACUGAGAGGUUGGUCGGCCACAUUGGGACUGAGAUACGGCCCAGACUCCUACGGGAGGCAGCAGUGGGGAAUAUUGCACAAUGGGCGCAAGCCUGAUGCAGCGACGCCGCGUGGGGGAUGACGGCCUUCGGGUUGUAAACUCCUUUCGCCAGGGACGAAGCGUUUUGUGACGGUACCUGGAGAAGAAGCACCGGCUAACUACGUG
Molecule: ribosomal RNA, 463 nt
Filed under: uncultured bacterium
Lineage: Bacteria
Description: partial 16S ribosomal RNA
Rfam family: Bacterial small subunit ribosomal RNA
Source: RNAcentral